RNAcentral lists this ribosomal RNA (1161 nucleotides) under Allomonas enterica. RNAcentral describes it as "bacterial SSU rRNA". It matches the Rfam family "Bacterial small subunit ribosomal RNA", at positions 31 to 1174 of the family's 1533-position model. The record is from RNAcentral. Lineage: Bacteria; Pseudomonadati; Pseudomonadota; Gammaproteobacteria; Vibrionales; Vibrionaceae.
GAAAGUUGCCGGCAGCCUACACAUGCAGUCGAGCGGCAGCGACAUAAACAAACCUUCGGGGGCGCUUAUGGGCGGCGAGCGGCGGACGGGUGAGUAAUGCCUGGGAAAUUGCCCUGAUGUGGGGGAUAACCAUUGGAAACGAUGGCUAAUACCGCAUAAUAGCUUCGGCUUAAAGAGGGGGACCUUCGGGCCUCUCGCGUCAGGAUAUGCCCAGGUGGGAUUAGCUAGUUGGUGAGGUAAGGGCUCACCAAGGCGACGAUCCCUAGCUGGUCUGAGAGGAUGAUCAGCCACACUGGAACUGAGACACGGUCCAGACUCCUACGGGAGGCAGCAGUGGGGAAUAUUGCACAAUGGGCGCAAGCCUGAUGCAGCCAUGCCGCGUGUAUGAAGAAGGCCUUCGGGUUGUAAAGUACUUUCAGCAGUGAGGAAGGCGGAUGUGUUAAUAGCGCAUUCGUUUGACGUUAGCUGCAGAAGAAGCACCGGCUAACUCCGUGCCAGCAGCCGCGGUAAUACGGAGGGUGCGAGCGUUAAUCGGAAUUACUGGGCGUAAAGCGCAUGCAGGUGGUCUGUUAAGUCAGAUGUGAAAGCCCGGGGCUUAACCUCGGAAUAGCAUUUGAAACUGGCAGGCUAGAGUACUGUAGAGGGGGGUAGAAUUUCAGGUGUAGCGGUGAAAUGCGUAGAGAUCUGAAGGAAUACCGGUGGCGAAGGCGGCCCCCUGGACAGAUACUGACACUCAGAUGCGAAAGCGUGGGGAGCAAACAGGAUUAGAUACCCUGGUAGUCCACGCCGUAAACGAUGUCUACUUGGAGGUUGUGGCCUUGAGCCGUGGCUUUCGGAGCUAACGCGUUAAGUAGACCGCCUGGGGAGUACGGUCGCAAGAUUAAAACUCAAAUGAAUUGACGGGGGCCCGCACAAGCGGUGGAGCAUGUGGUUUAAUUCGAUGCAACGCGAAGAACCUUACCUACUCUUGACAUCCAGAGAACUUAGCAGAGAUGCUUUGGUGCCUUCGGGAACUCUGAGACAGGUGCUGCAUGGCUGUCGUCAGCUCGUGUUGUGAAAUGUUGGGUUAAGUCCCGCAACGAGCGCACCCUUAUCCUUGUUUGCCAGCGAGUAAUGUCGGGAACUCCAGGGAGACUGCCCGGUGAUAAACCGGAGGAAGGU